Ribosomal RNA from Oncorhynchus tshawytscha (Chinook salmon), 116 nucleotides. The record is from Ensembl. Lineage: Eukaryota; Metazoa; Chordata; Actinopteri; Salmoniformes; Salmonidae.
GCUUACGACCACACCGGCCUGAGUACGCCUGAUCUCGUCUGAUCUCGGAAGCUAAGCAGGGUCGGGCCUGGUUAGUACUUGGAUGGGAGACUUCCUGGGAAUAGGUGCUGUAAGCU